UCUGUAGAAUCCCUCAGAGCACAGCUCCUUAAAAUGGAUUGGGCCUGGAGGAUCCUAUUCUUGGUGGCAGCUCUGAAAAGUGCCCAUGGUGAGGUGCAGCUGGUGCAGUCUGGACCUGAACUGAAGAUGCCUGGAACCUCAGUGAAGGUCACCUGCAAGGCUUCUGGUUAUACAUUCACAAGCUACAAUAUAAACUGGGUGCGACAGAGCCCUGGACAAGGAUUAGAGUGGAUUGGCUGGGUCUAUCCUGGUAAUGGCAAUGCUGGAUAUGAUCCAAAGUUCCAAGGCAGAGCUGUCCUCACCACUGACAAGUCUUCCAGCACAGCCUACAUGGAACUGAGAAGUUUGAAGUCUGAGGACACGGCUGUGUAUUACUGUGUGAGAUACACAGUGUGGUGA
This is a non-coding RNA of Octodon degus (degu), 399 nucleotides long. Lineage: Eukaryota; Metazoa; Chordata; Mammalia; Rodentia; Octodontidae. The record is from the annotation of a RefSeq genome assembly.